UAUCACAUUGAAAUAUCGGUUCCCGUACGAUCACUUAUGUUAAGCAAUGUUGAGCCUGGUAACUACCUCGAUGGGUGACUGCUUGGGAAAACCAGGUGC
Acanthosepion pharaonis is the source of this 99-nucleotide non-coding RNA. NCBI's taxonomy places the organism in Eukaryota, Metazoa, Mollusca, Cephalopoda, Sepiida, Sepiidae. The record is from the annotation of a GenBank genome assembly.